Paramuricea clavata is the source of this 428-nucleotide non-coding RNA. The record is from the annotation of a GenBank genome assembly. Lineage: Eukaryota; Metazoa; Cnidaria; Anthozoa; Malacalcyonacea; Plexauridae.
GUAUUUUUCCUUAUUUCUAACAGGUUAUAAAACAAAACAAACAGCUUGUUUACUGUCAAGCUGGAAAAAACCCAGCAUAACAACAUAUAAAGUAUUACUUUGUCAAAUUGGGCAACAAAACAUUUAUGCUGUUGAAUAUAUUUGAAUAUGUAUUUCACAGUUUUGCUUCCACCCAUAGCUACAAUCAUGGCAAAAAUUCUGUGGACACUUAUAGGUGUGAACGAUUAAAGUAUUACUGUUCACAUACACAUAUUGGCAUCUUCAUCUCCCCCGUCAGUCACAGAGCUUUCGCCUAACCGAUCUAGAAGCUUUUCAACAGUCAAAAAAUGCUGUUUUUGCAUGUAUGUUUGGCCAAGGCAGGUAUUUGUAUUUUUGCGCACACUGUCCACAAUAAUUUUUUCCAGGAUUGUAGAUAUUCUAAUUUAGGG